ACAGAGGGGGCAAGCGUUGCUCGGAAUCACUGGGCGUAAAGGGCGCGUAGGCGGUCUGCUAAGCGUGUGGUGAAAGCUCGGGGCUCAACCCCGAGUCUGCCAUGCGAACUGGUGGACUAGAGCACUGUAGAGGCAGGUGGAAUUCCGGGUGUAGCGGUGGAAUGCGUAGAGAUCCGGAAGAACACCGGUGGCGAAGGCGGCCUGCUGGGCAGUUGCUGACGCUGAGGCGCGACAGCGUGGGGAGCAAACAGGA
This 253-nucleotide ribosomal RNA is filed under the name uncultured prokaryote. RNAcentral's name for it is "partial 16S ribosomal RNA". It matches the Rfam family "Bacterial small subunit ribosomal RNA", at positions 525 to 777 of the family's 1533-position model. The record is from RNAcentral.